This 848-nucleotide ribosomal RNA is filed under the name uncultured bacterium. RNAcentral describes it as "bacterial SSU rRNA". It matches the Rfam family "Bacterial small subunit ribosomal RNA", at positions 91 to 924 of the family's 1533-position model. The record is from RNAcentral.
GCGAGCGGCGGAUGGGUGAGUAACACGUGGGGAACCUGCCCCUAAGUCUGGGAUACCAUUUGGAAACAGGUGCUAAUACCGGAUAAUAAAGCAGAUCGCAUGAUCAGCUUUUGAAAGGCGGCGUAAGCUGUCGCUAAGGGAUGGCCCCGCGGUGCAUUAGCUAGUUGGUAAGGUAACGGCUUACCAAGGCGACGAUGCAUAGCCGAGUUGAGAGACUGAUCGGCCACAUUGGGACUGAGACACGGCCCAAACUCCUACGGGAGGCAGCAGUAGGGAAUCUUCCACAAUGGACGCAAGUCUGAUGGAGCAACGCCGCGUGAGUGAAGAAGGUUUUCGGAUCGUAAAGCUCUGUUGUUGGUGAAGAAGGAUAGAGGUAGUAACUGGCCUUUAUUUGACGGUAAUCAACCAGAAAGUCACGGCUAACUACGUGCCAGCAGCCGCGGUAAUACGUAGGUGGCAAGCGUUGUCCGGAUUUAUUGGGCGUAAAGCGAGCGCAGGCGGAAAAAUAAGUCUAAUGUGAAAGCCCUCGGCUUAACCGAGGAACUGCAUCGGAAACUGUUUUUCUUGAGUGCAGAAGAGGAGAGUGGAACUCCAUGUGUAGCGGUGGAAUGCGUAGAUAUAUGGAAGAACACCAGUGGCGAAGGCGGCUCUCUGGUCUGCAACUGACGCUGAGGCUCGAAAGCAUGGGUAGCGAACAGGAUUAGAUACCCUGGUAGUCCAUGCCGUAAACGAUGAGUGCUAAGUGUUGGGAGGUUUCCGCCUCUCAGUGCUGCAGCUAACGCAUUAAGCACUCCGCCUGGGGAGUACGACCGCAGGGUUGAAACUCAAAGGAAUUGACGGGGGCCCGC